GUAUACUCCCGCUGUUAGUUGAAAUGACUCAAACACGGUAAAUGACUAUAUGUUAAGAAGAGAACUACUACUGUAUUGACUAACCAAGCCGCCAUUACUCAGCCCGUUAAAAUAUAUUUCUGUUUCGGUAUCUUUAGCGCAAAUGUUAGAUAUUCAAACGAAUAAUUGCAGUGUUAUUCAGUUUAAAGGUAGUUAAAAAUAUUCAGUCAUGUCCCAAUUUUUAAUUUCUGAAAAUCAAAAAAAAAAAAACCCAUCCAUGUCCUAUUUUCAUUUUCUGAAAAUCAAAAUAACUUUCAUACGGUGUAUUGUAUAGAUAUCGUUUAUCUGGGUAAACAAGAUAAACCCAGUGCAAUAAACUCGCGUUUUACUAAAUGUCUUUCUAAAUUAAAUGUGACCGAAAGUUAUGUUAAAUGGCGUGUUUGACCAUGGAUAACGUAAUCUGAGCAUGUAUAAUGGUUUUAUUUCAAAUAAUAUUAAACAUCAGUACCGUAAAAGGUAAAGAGAGUGUAGUGAACUAUUGUCCAGAAAAAGGCAGGGCGCACCAUGGAGAGUGGCGACUUCAUACCGACAAGGUCGGCUUUUUCUGUGAACUGAUAUGUCACCAUGGUUACAGUCCUAGCGGAUGCACUGUUCUCAUGAAAGACGGAUUUGGGGACUGGAACUAUGAUAUUCCAACGUGUCUGCUAGCUCGUAACAGCACUGUACAAACUCUGGAGAGUUCAAUACCAGGAUGCUAUAAACCAGUAAAUAAAUGUACAAAAAGAUCCUUUGGUAGCAUAGGAUGUAACCUAGCAAACAAAUUGCAGAGUCGGUUAGGUCGUUCUGUGUUCAUGAAAGCACCUCUCAUGUCCCCUAGUACCGGCUUAAGCAAACUUCUAUUUUAAAAAUUCAUUAUCAGAAAGGUCAAGAAACAAUAACACGCCCAUCCAUCUUUACUAACCUUUGGUUCAAAAAGGUUCAAAGUGGGCAUAAACAAGAGGGUCAUGAUGCUCCUAUAUCGCUCAAAAGAGUUUCAAAGCUCAAACAUGUAUAAUAAGAAACAUUUCUGGAAAAAUUACUUUCAAAACUAGUCCGCGGAUUCAUACGAUUCCACCAUAUACAGGACAUAUGAUGGCAAAGUGAAUACGCCCUCUGGCGGUUAUGUUUGGCAAAUCUGAUUACUAGUAAUGUGAAUGUUCUUUGAAAACGGUUAUCCCGAAGGAACAUUCAAAUGAAAAUAUUUAAAAAUCGGUCAAACAUUUCUGACAAAGUUCUUACUAUACACAUAAUUUUAUAAGAAAACUGGCUGCUAUGUGUUUGACGAGUUUCGGAAAACAUGUCGUUUGCAGAAAAGACCGGACGACGGAUGGACGGUGAUUGAUAACAAUAGCUCAACCCAAGCACGUUUUUGUUCAGACCCUUGGUUCUCUAUGUCGAGGAUUGUAUGUAAGGCAGCAGGGUUUAUUCCUGGAUAUGGAAUAUCGGUUCUAGGAUUUUCAAAGGCAGGAAUCGUUAAAAAUUCCUUUGCUGCAAAGCUGAUGAAAUGGCUGAAACACGUUGAAAAAGGAAGCAUAUUUUCAAGGAUACAAAGCGCUUCAAUGAGGGGAUACUAUCCGACAGAUGAGGUUGAGAUUAUUUGUGAAAUGGUAACACAGUUUUUCGCUUCAACACCAAAUUGCGAAACACCAAGAAGAAAGACAGAAUUGUAAGGCCAUACAAAACACGGUGCAAAUAUCGUCCAUUAGAUAUACAAUCUUAAGUAUGUAGGGAUAAUACACGUUUUUUUGUGUAUAAACGUCUGCAGAAGCCCGCGGGAUUGUUUGUGACCGAGACCGAAGGUCGAGGUCACAAACAUAUCCCAAGGGCUUCUGUAGACGUAAAUACACAAAACAAACGUGUAUUGUCGCUAUUCUUGCAUAAAAAAAUAUUUCACGACGAUUUAUGUAUUGUUUUCAUAUGUGAUGACUUGACGAUUCCGGUACAUUUUUUAUUUACCAUUCCUGUUGUUCUUGGAUACGGUAAACAUGUUUUAAAUAUCCGUAUCCAGGGCCCGGAAAUAAACAACACUAUCAAAAGCACAUCCUGAAGGUUUUUAACCGAUAUUUUUUAUCUCUCAUUAUUACAAACAUAAAAUUACCAAUAAUUGUUCAUAUCAUUUCACAAUUUGGUGGACUCGAUCACAAUUUCAAGAAUAAUAACUUUACAUUCGAGUUACAUUGAGUACGGACACGCAGUUGGAGUACGGAUGAGUACGAACGUAGUGUCAAGUUUCCAAGCUGUUUAUAUAAAUUCUUCGAGAAAUUAGAUAAAAACAUACCGACUGAUACUUACCAAAAUCAUAAAUAUGAUACCUAAAAACAAAGAAUUGCACAGGUAAACACGCGAUCUUUUAACAUUCACGGUUGUCUACAAAAUCUGAACUGACGCCGAGUUCUAAAAGGGGAGUAAACAAGGGAAGAAACGAAUACGAACAUUGUUUGGGGCAGCGCAUUUGCCGUUAGUUACUGAUACAGUAAACCAUUCUAUGGUUUAGAUUGCACCUUUAAUGCUUCAAGAAGAGGUUUUUAUGAAAAAAAACAAGACGCAGAUACCAGAUGUCAAUCUGCGCAGAAUUACAUAUACGUCCCUGGGAAAGCAUUUCAAAAAUAAAAAUCGGGUAUUAACAGCACGUGAAUUGCCUUGUUUGCACACGAUUUUUCUCCCGUUAAUACAUGGGCGGAUCCAGUGAAAAAAAGUAGUUUUUAUGCAAGAAUAUGUGUUGUUCCAUGUAUUCGGGAUUUUUUUUAGUGUUUUAUAUCAUACUGAAUACUGUAGUACUGUAUGAAUAUGGAUUGUGAUACUAACUGAUAAAGGACAGUUAUGUAUAAGAUACACAUAUCUUUUCUGUUUGUUUUCAUCGGAUGAAGGACGUCAUGAAAAUAUGUUUGCAUAUCAUAAUUAUGAUAUGUCCACUUUGCGUGUUCCCUAAACACUUUCUUUUUAUUAUUGUUAUUAAUGUUAUUAUUUUUAUUGUUAUUAUUAUCAUUGUUGUUGUUGUUGCUGUAAUGAGAUAAUGUUAUCGUUAAUUAGGAAUUUUUAAUGUAUUAGGCCCCUAAUAGUAAUGUUUAAAAAAUGGCAUUUGCUUUGUAUAUUCUUACAGUUGACCGUGCUUUGCACUGUGUUGCAAAUUUUUAAAAACUUUUACUGUGCCGUUUUUUUAUAAAUUUGGUGUAAUUUAUGGUAUUUCCUCAAGCUCAAGUAGAGACAAAUUUCAAAAUGAUGGCCUUUAUCUAAAACAUUUGCAGACAAUUCAUUUUACCAUUAUUUUUUAUGAAAGAAACAUUAAACUAUUGGUAAACAGUUAUAAAACUUAAAAUAAAACUGUCAAUAUCAUUUUUUCUAGGGUGCCUCAAGUAAACGGAUUUAAGGAGACAGAAUUCUAACUCCAACAUUGAAAAAUUAAGGUCGAAUUCUGCGGGUCUGUUUUGAAUUUUGCUCCCUCUAUUCAAAAAUAACAAUGGGGCAGAAGUAUAACCUACCUACAUUUCUUCCAUAAUAUGUAAUCUAAAGAAUGAAGGCAAAAUAGAGAACUUAUACCGCAUGCAACUCAGUAUUUUUAAAGAUGUGUAACUCUACCCCUUCUGUUUCAAAGAUAAAUUUACUUUGAACAGCAAGAAAUCGCUUGGUCCCCCCCCCCCCCCCCCCCCCAGAAUUGCAGUCAAAGUAGGUUUAUCGUAGGAAUUGAAUACCCUUCAAAAUGGAGGUACUCUAUUAUGGGCCUAAUACUUAAGGUCUUAUGCUAUAUGCAUAUAUGCACCAUCUCCCAUCUCAUUGAGGGGUUUAUUACAUCACUGAUCAUUGAUAUUUCACUAGAUGGUUCCGAAAAAGGAAAGGCUUUCAGAGGGAUUGAUGUGUUUGAAAAAUUUUAUACGAACGCUAUAUCCAGCCUCUCACUGCCUUCCUGGAAAAUGUAUAUGUGUGUAUAGAAUUCUUAUCUAUUAGUACGCACGGGUAACGAAAAUUAUUGUUAUGUGCAUUUGUGAAAAAAAUUGUAACAUGUCUUGUGGGUGAGAAUUAAAUAAACUAUCAGAAACUAUGUGGAUAAUCGUUUACGAAAUAUAUCAUUCCUUCUAGAUAAAAGUCAUAAUUAUCAUUUAUCAUUAUGAAUUAUAAUUGCAGUAUUUAUCAUCAUCACUAUCAUCUUAAGCAUCAUGGAUGAUCCCUUAUCAGACCAUGUAGUAUAUCUAUAAUGAGAUGUAUAUACU
This is an RNA transcript of Mercenaria mercenaria, 4223 nucleotides long. RefSeq lists it as uncharacterized. The record is from RefSeq and is a predicted model, not a curated record. The transcript has 5 exons. Lineage: Eukaryota; Metazoa; Mollusca; Bivalvia; Venerida; Veneridae.